GCUGACACAUCCCGGCCAAUCUCCAGCAGACCCUCCCUCCCAGACCCUCCUACUUCCUGGACAGCAUCCAUGUUGAAGGCAGCUUCAACAUGGAUGCUGUCCAGGAGGUGGGAGGGUCUGGGAGGGAGGGUCUGCCGGAGAUUGGCAGGGAUGUGUCAG
Pelobates cultripes (western spadefoot toad) is the source of this 159-nucleotide non-coding RNA. Lineage: Eukaryota; Metazoa; Chordata; Amphibia; Anura; Pelobatidae. The record is from the annotation of a GenBank genome assembly.